AAUUUACGUUCUUUAGUGAGAGUGUUGGUUUAACACCAACAGAAAAGGAAAACAGAUGAAUAAGCUCUGAGUUUUCAUUUCUCUUUUUUCCUCUUACUCUCAGGGUAGGCUGAAAAACAAAAGAUAAAUAUAAUUACUGUUUAUAAAAUGGCAUGUGCUUUCUCAAAUAUAUUCAAAUGAAUGCCAGAUUGCUUAGACUGUCUUUAUAUUUCCAUCAAUGAAAACAAUUCAAGCCUGUCCUAGACUCAUGGCAGUUGAAUUCUUCUGCCGGGCAAGGGGAAAGGACAGAGCAG
RNAcentral lists this long non-coding RNA (293 nucleotides) under Bos taurus (domestic cattle). RNAcentral's name for it is "long non-coding RNA NONBTAT022568". The record is from RNAcentral. Lineage: Eukaryota; Metazoa; Chordata; Mammalia; Artiodactyla; Bovidae.